AGCUGGAUAGCUCAGUUGGCUAGAGCAUGGUGUUGAUAAUGCCGAGGUUGCAGGUUUGAUCCCCAUAAGGGAUAGCUG
Molecule: transfer RNA, 78 nt
Filed under: Podarcis lilfordi (Lilford's wall lizard)
Lineage: Eukaryota; Metazoa; Chordata; Lepidosauria; Squamata; Lacertidae
Description: tRNA.Ile
Source: RNAcentral